CUUUCCCCUAACCCCCAGGUUUACAGGUUCAAGAUAGACCGGGAAGUCGUCAAGGUUGAAGGUUGUUUUAAUUGUAAUAGAUUAGUAGUGGACAUGAAAUGUAAAAUGGUAUAUUGUAAUGUAAUGUAAAGAAUGUUUCAUGGUUUAGUAUUGUGCUUGGCCCUAAUUGUAGUGGUGAUCCCCUUUUGUACAUGAUCUUAUGUUAAUGUCCUAAUGAUGAGUUAUGUUGAACCAGGCUUGACUUAUGUAAUGUUGAUCCAACU
This 263-nucleotide long non-coding RNA is filed under the name Manihot esculenta (cassava). RNAcentral describes it as "long non-coding RNA (MESC_LNC010298)". Lineage: Eukaryota; Viridiplantae; Streptophyta; Magnoliopsida; Malpighiales; Euphorbiaceae. The record is from RNAcentral.